This 492-nucleotide ribosomal RNA is filed under the name uncultured bacterium. RNAcentral describes it as "partial 16S ribosomal RNA". It matches the Rfam family "Bacterial small subunit ribosomal RNA", at positions 36 to 507 of the family's 1533-position model. The record is from RNAcentral.
CUUUCCCUCUUUCUUUAGGCCUAACACAUGCAAGUCGAACGGCAGCACAGUAAGAGCUUGCUCUUACGGGUGGCGAGUGGCGGACGGGUGAGGAAUACAUCGGAAUCUACUUUUUCGUGGGGGAUAACGUAGGGAAACUUACGCUAAUACCGCAUACGACCUACGGGUGAAAGCAGGGGAUCUUCGGACCUUGCGCGAUUGAAUGAGCCGAUGUCGGAUUAGCUAGUUGGCGGGGUAAAGGCCCACCAAGGCGACGAUCCGUAGCUGGUCUGAGAGGAUGAUCAGCCACACUGGAACUGGGACACGGUCCAGACUCCUACGGGAGGCAGCAGUGGGGAAUAUUGGACAAUGGGCGCAAGCCUGAUCCAGCCAUACCGCGCGGGUGAAGAAGGCCUUCGGGUUGUAAAGCCCUUUUGUUGGGAAAGAAAAGCAGCAGGUUAAUACCCCGCUGUUCUGACGGUACCCAAAGAAUAAGCACCGGCUAACUUCGUG